CAUAUACUCCCUCUGUCCUAAAAUUCUUGUCUUAGGUUUAUUUAAAAAUAGUUGUAUCUAAAUACUAAAACAUGACUAGAUACAUUCGGCCUCUAGUUGUAUCUAGAUACUAAAAUAUGUAGAGAAAUGUAAGACAAGAAUUUUGUAACGGAGGGAGCAUCUA
Hordeum vulgare subsp. vulgare (domesticated barley) is the source of this 163-nucleotide non-coding RNA. NCBI's taxonomy places the organism in Eukaryota, Viridiplantae, Streptophyta, Magnoliopsida, Poales, Poaceae. The record is from Rfam.